CAACGGUGGAGCCUGCGGUUUAAUCGGACUCAACGCCGGGAAACUCACCAGAUAAGACAGCUGAAUGAUAGUCGGGCUGAAGACUCUACUUGACUAGCUGAGAGGAGGUGCAUGGCCGUCGUCAGUUCGUACUGUGAAGCAUCCUGUUAAGUCAGGCAACGAGCGAGACCCACGCCAACAGUUGCCAGCUCGUCCUCCGGGAUGGUGGGGACACUGUUGGGACCGCCUCUGCUAAAGAGGAGGAAGGAAUGGGCACGGUAGGUCAGCAUGCCCCGAAUUAUCUGGGCUACACGCGGGCUACAAUGGGUGGGACAAUGGGUAUCGACACCGAAAGGUGAAGGCAAUCUCCUAAACCCAUCCGUAGUUCGGAUUGUGGGCUGCAACUCGCCCACAUGAAGCUGGAAUCUGUAGUAAUCGUGUCUCAAAAUGGCACGGUGAAUAUGUCCCUGCUCCUU
RNAcentral lists this ribosomal RNA (455 nucleotides) under uncultured Methanomicrobiales archaeon. RNAcentral's name for it is "bacterial SSU rRNA". It matches the Rfam family "Archaeal small subunit ribosomal RNA", at positions 882 to 1338 of the family's 1478-position model. The record is from RNAcentral. Lineage: Archaea; Methanobacteriati; Methanobacteriota; Methanomicrobia; Methanomicrobiales.